GGAAGUUGUGGACAGCAACACAGACCUGCAGCUGCUGUGUUGUCGGAGAACCGCAGCACAAAAGCCAGUCACCAAAGAGGAAGGAGACGCGACCAAGGGGACCCUGGACAGCUGAAGGUACAGUGUGCACGUCAAGGCUCAGGCCUCUGGCUUCCACCCCUGCAGGGUCUAGGAUUAGAAGCCUGUGAGCUUUAAUGCGUAUUUUCUUUAUUUAAAAAGAAGAAAGAAAAAAAAAAAACCACCUCCCUACUCUUUUACAUAAUUGGUACAUGUAAAACAGAAAUUAUGGUUUCUUGUAACGACAACUGUACUUUUAAAAACUGACAUGAAACAACGUUGGGGAGAAUACAAAGUUACAGAGGCUGCAAAAUCCUGCCUGAGAUUUAACUGGAAACUCUCGUAAAGACAUCUGUCAUCGUGAUUUCCACACAACUUAUUCCCGCCUGGGUCACCCACUGUCCUCUCAGAGGCAGCUGAAGAGAGUCUUCGCACCUUAAGUAAUCUGGGGGAAUUUCCUGGAAUCUUCUCUCUGGCAUCCAAAACCAGGUCUCCUGAGAGGACAGGAGAUCAUAGCACGAAACCUGCCAAAGAUGUAUAACGAUCUGAGCUGCAUAACCAAGCAGUGCCACAGAAAGGAAAAAACACCCUCCACGUCCUCUGCUGACAGAGCGCCAUGCUCAGCAGGUAAAUCUGUCAACGUUCUGUUGAUUUUGCAUUUUUUUACCCAGAACAGCAGCGUCACGGUACUUGAUCUAAGGAAGGCAAUCAGCAGAUUUUCCAUUCACAAUGUUAGGGAGUUCUCUAGAA
Rattus rattus (black rat) is the source of this 807-nucleotide long non-coding RNA. RefSeq lists it as uncharacterized. NCBI's taxonomy places the organism in Eukaryota, Metazoa, Chordata, Mammalia, Rodentia, Muridae. The record is from RefSeq and is a predicted model, not a curated record. The transcript has 3 exons.